UAUAGAUGGAUCCGCGCUGCAUUAGCUAGUUGGUAAGGUAACGGCUUACCAAGGCAACGAUGCAUAGCCGACCUGAGAGGGUGAUCGGCCACACUGGAACUGAGACACGGUCCAGACUCCUACGGGAGGCAGCAGUAGGGAAUCUUCCGCAAUGGGCGAAAGCCUGACGGAGCAACGCCGCGUGAGUGAUGAAGGUCUUCGGAUCGUAAAACUCUGUUAUUAGGGAAGAACAUAUGUGUAAGUAACUGUGCACAUCUUGACGGUACCUAAUCAGAAAGCCACGGCUAACUACGUGCCAGCAGCCGCGGUAAUACGUAGGUGGCAAGCGUUAUCCGGAAUUAUUGGGCGUAAAGCGCGCGUAGGCGGUUUUUUAAGUCUGAUGUGAAAGCCCACGGCUCAACCGUGGAGGGUCAUUGGAAACUGGAAAACUUGAGUGCAGAAGAGGAAAGUGGAAUUCCAUGUGUAGCGGUGAAAUGCGCAGAGAUAUGGAGGAACACCAGUGGCGAAGGCGACUUUCUGGUCUGUAACUGACGCUGAUGUGCGAAAGCGUGGGGAUCAAACA
This 562-nucleotide ribosomal RNA is filed under the name Staphylococcus aureus. Its description in RNAcentral is "bacterial SSU rRNA". It matches the Rfam family "Bacterial small subunit ribosomal RNA", at positions 220 to 774 of the family's 1533-position model. Lineage: Bacteria; Bacillati; Bacillota; Bacilli; Caryophanales; Staphylococcaceae. The record is from RNAcentral.